RNAcentral lists this small RNA (4420 nucleotides) under Arabidopsis thaliana (thale cress). RNAcentral describes it as "ATSL030350". Lineage: Eukaryota; Viridiplantae; Streptophyta; Magnoliopsida; Brassicales; Brassicaceae. The record is from RNAcentral.
AAAUCACUAAUUUGGCCAAGAGAAGACUCAUCUCCUAAUUACCUCAUGAAAAAACUUUCUCUUUCUGCGACUUGUCGACACUCUUGCAGGCCAAAUACUUGAUAGUCUUCUUCUUCCUUCCUUUAUACACAUUCUACAAUACAAUUUGAACAAAACGUUACAUCAAUGGCUUUGUGAAUAUAUGGUAUUCCCUUGGUUACCUUAAAUCAGAGAUUCACCUCCAAAUCCAAACCCGAAACUUAAAAACCCUAAAUUAGAUCGAAGUUUCUAUUCUAUCAGAUUCAAAACCCACGAAUCAGCCUAACAAUGUUCAACUGUGUCUUCGAAAUCGAAAAUCCCCAGAUGUAGGAAAAUUGUAACAACCUGUAGAAGCAAUAGAGAAAGAGACUUACCUAGAGCGAUGUUGUCGCAUUGAAUAGACUUAGGCUUGUUGAGACCAUGAGAACAAUCUUCAAUUCGAGUUUCAUAAGCAAGAGAGGCAUGUAGGCUCGAUCGAAGGUAAUUUGGAAGCUCACCUCUUAUGCCACUAUUGGAGAAGAAAUAAUCACUCGUGCCAUUCUUAUGUUUGGAAUAUUAUUAUUGAUUUUUAUUUAAAUCGAAAAAUGAGGAAAGGACGAAAAACCCUUGCGAAACCACAAAAACUACAAGAAAACUUAAUUUGUUGGGCUCGGGCCCAAAAAAAAAUGUAAAUACUCGGCCCAGUUGUAUUAUUUACAGAAAAAACCUAAGUAAAAACCUAAGUUCCCCCUUUUCACUUCUCGACUUCUUCCUCUUCUCUCCGUCGUCGUCUUCUCUCGUCUCCGACGAUACCACUUUCACCGGAAAAAUCAAUCUCUUCUAUUCUUCUUUCUUCUCCGUUUUCGUUCGUCUUUGUCUCUUUCAUAUCCGCAAAUUUAUUUUCCAAUGGCUAGAGUAAAAGACUCAUCUGGAGAAUAUGAAUCAACUAGGGUUGAAUCGACCGGCGAAAUUCCUCCAUCAGUCGACGACACCGCCGCCGAGAUUCCCCAAAGAGAUGAAGAAGGCACAGAGCUUCUUACAACAGAAGAGGAAGCCGGAGAAAUUCAGCCUACAACCGGCGAUUGUGACGCAGCCGAUUUGGGUAAUUCAAACGCCGUCGCAUGGGAAUCAAUUGACGAUCUUUCAGACCCAAAUGCCGAUUCUUGUGCAGAAGAAGAAGAGGCAACGAAUGCAGUUGUUCAACAUGAUGAUGGAGCAAAUAAGGUAUGAUAGAAGACCGUUAUUUUUUUGAUUAGGCUCGUUUUAGGAUAUUAUGCAUGCAUUGGUAAAUGAUUGGAUUUGUGAAUGGUGCUUCAGAUAAAACAAAUAGUACAACUAGGUCGUAAAUUUGUGAAUGGUCAUUCAGGAACAACUAGUACAACUAGGUAGUUAAUGUGAAAUUGAAAGUAUUUUGAAUUGAAUAUGCAGGAUGAUGGUGAUGAUGAUAACCUGCCGUAGAAUAUGCAGCAUGGUGAUGAUGAUCUUCAGCCGCAGAAUAUGCAGGAUGAUGAUGAUGAUGAUGAUGAUAAUCAACCAUUGCCGCCAGAAGUUAUGUACUUUGAUCCAACUACCUACACGAAGGUGUGUAAGAUAGGAACGAGGUGUCAGUUGGUACAAACAGUGGAAUUUAUAGAGACUUUGGAUGCAGAACUGAAGUGGUUUAGGAAUCAUGACCAAUUUAAGCACAUAUUCCACAUGCCUAAGGAGCCCAAUCACAUGAUUCAAGGCAUGUGGAUGCUUAUGGUUCGCACGGCUAAGACAGAAUUGGCGAGAGAGUGUUGGUUUGUUGUCAAUGGAGUACCUAUAAGGUACUCAAUUAGAGAGCAUGCAUUGUUGACCGGUUUGAACUGCCGUGAGUACCCAAAAAACUAUAAGACUUUAGGCAGUUUGAAGUUUGUGGAGAAGUUGUUUAAGAGGACUGAGGACAUCAAGAUUAAAGACGUGGAAGAGAAGCUGGAAGAGUUUAAGAGUGAGAAGUCUACUGCUAGGUUGAAGUUGGCAAUUCUGUUAUUCUUAGCUAAGGUUAUGAAAGCUGAUUCUAAAGGGGAUUCGAAGAUAAAGGAGUUUUUGCUUAGGAUUGUGGAUAAUGUCAGAGCUUGUGAGACAUUCCCGUGGGGACGUUUUUCCUUUGAGCAGUGUAUGGAAGGGGUGCGGAGAGUAAUGAAGAACAUGAAAGGUGUGGUGAAACAGAAGGCACAGACUGCUUUUUAUGGAUUUAUUACUCCACUUGAGGUAAGUAGUCGAGUAAAUUAUAUGAGUGGCUAGAUUUUGUUAUUGUGAACUUUCAUUUACUUUUAUGUUUUUGUGUCUAGAUUCUGGCAUUUGAGUGCAUUCCGCAGCUUGGGAAGAGAUUUAGAGAAGCUGUACGUGCAGACAAGGAAUGUCCAAGAAUGUGCAAGCACAAGUUCAGUGAAAGUUGCAUGAAGGGAUUUACUUUGGAAGAAAUAAAUGAAGCACUUGGAGAUAUAACGGUUAGCUUUGUUCUCUUGAAAUCUAUGUUUAUAAUCUUUGUGGUGUUUGAAAUAUAUGUUUACUUGACAGGAUAUUUCAAGCAUCUUGGAACCUGAUAUGGAUGAGAGAAAAAUGUUGUCACGCGUUGUAGAGAAGCAUGUUGAUGAUGGUAUUGGAUAUAUUGAUCCAAUUGUUGAUAGUUAGAAAGAGAGGCUUAUCGUAGAGAAAAAGAAGAUUUUCUGGCGUAGUCUCUACCAAGCAGACAUUGAUGGUAGACGUAUUGAAACUGUUGAUGAUGUUCCAGCUGUACCUGAACCUGAAAUCCCUGGGACAUCGAUUCUCUCGUUCAAGGAAGCUAUGGAGAGAGGAUUUGACAAGCUCACGGACAAGCUUGCUGUGAUGGAUAGCGAAAUCAAGCGAAUUUGUUUGAGAGUACAAGGAAUAGAGGAAUAUGUGGCAGAUCAACUUGAGAAAGAGGCAGAAAAAGACAAAUAUGAAGAUAUGCGUCCUGGUUCAGCUGCUGAUUUUGUGCCACCGUCUUAUCAGCCAAGGGAUACUCAGAGCAAGGCCUUGGUUAUUCACAGUGGAAUCCGUGACCCAGCACCUCCAACUAUUGAGUCUCUAAGUGAGUUUUUGUUGAACUUUUGUGUAGUGAUGCUUUCACAAUAGUUCUUACAUGUUUGGUUACAUAUUUUUGUAGGUGAUGGCAGCGAUGAGUCCGAUGAAGAGGAUAAGAAGAAGAAGAAGAAGAAGCAGAUAUCGAAGAAGAAGAGAAAGCAUGUUGGUCCUACUCUGGAAUCUGGGAAAAAACGUGGAAGGAAACCUUCCAAGUAUAAGGGGGAAGAGUUUACAGCUGAGGGGAAGCAAACGAGGAAGAGACUUUGACUUUUCUUUCUUGCUUAUGUGUGUGUGUGGACUCUUAGGUGUUUGGAGAAAUAGGACUUUCUUUUUGUGUAUUUGGGAAUGUUAUGCGUAGUUUAUGUGUAGAGGACAAACUUAUUUUCUGUAAUGGUUUAUGUGUUUUUUGAUUUUAUUAAAAUCAAAACGUUUGGCUAAGUUGUCCCGGUUGGCCGGUCAAUAGUACAAGAGUUGCUAAGUUGUCCCAGUUGGCCGGACAAUACACAUAACUUAAAAUACAAGAGUUGCUAAGUUGUCCCAGUUGGCCGGUCAAUACACAUAACUUAAAAUACAAGAGUUGCUAAGUUGUCCCUAUUGGCCGGUCAAUACACAUAACUUAAAAUAGGUAAAUAGCUAAGUUGUCCCAGUUGGCCGGUCAAUACACAUAACUUAAAAUACAAGAAUAGCUAAGUUGUCCCUGUUGGCCGGUCAAUACACAUAACAUAAAAUAGGUAAAUACAUGUCUAAUUAGGUUCAAAUAUUACAUAAAAUCCAGAAACAUAACAUAAUUAGGUUCAAAUGCCAUACACCAUCCUCAAUAACAUAAAACACAUCAUAAUCACCAUGUAGAAAGUAAUGCCCUAAGCCUAUCAAUCUCGACUUCUUUGGCGAGUAACCUUUCUUUAAGGGUUUCAAUUUCGCCUUGCAUGAGUUGAAUAGUUUCCCGGAUGGACUCCAAAGCAUGAUUGCAUGCUAGUUGUCCAUGUCUUAGUGCGGAAUCAAGUUUGUGAUUUACCUUCUCAAGCUCCUCAGUUACCGCCUGAUCCCACCACUGAAUAAGGUGGUUUCGGGACUCGUACUCUUCAUCCUGCGAAAGAGAGAAGACUUCAUAAAUAUAAUUCACAUGUACUUUGUUGUUCCAAUGAAAUGAAAACACAAUAACUUACUUUAAGCAUUGGGCAUUUGUAGACUCUGUCGCCUUGCCUGUAACCAGUUUUGCACACUUCAAGUUUUACAGGCUUACCACAAAAACAUUUUUCUGGAACCCCCCAAUUUGCAUCGGCAUUCGCCUCUCCACUAUUCCAACUAGUUUAGGACGUGGAUGGUUGAGAGUAACUAUAGGGCCUCUACAAAA